Erythranthe guttata (spotted monkey flower) is the source of this 781-nucleotide non-coding RNA. NCBI's taxonomy places the organism in Eukaryota, Viridiplantae, Streptophyta, Magnoliopsida, Lamiales, Phrymaceae. The record is from RefSeq and is a predicted model, not a curated record.
CCCAUUUAAUUUCAAAACGCUGUCGUUUCUUUUUCCCCCACCAAUCAACGCCUCUCUUCAUUUUCUUUUCCAUUUACUUUUCAAGUUUAUUCAGCUCAUUGCCAAACGACGUCGUUCCGUUCUCUUUUACUCUGCUCAUUGCUAGAACGCCGCCGUCACAUAUCGCCCACAACUGUUGACCUCCGCCACCCGCCUCGCCCGGCGUCCGCCACCGCUUCGCCCGGCGUCCGCCACCGCUUCGCCCGAUUCCCCUAUCACGUGGCGCCGCUUUUUUCCUCCAGUAGUAUGCCUACAGCCACUUCCCUUUUUCCUCCUACUUCCGUACGUGCGUUGUCCUCCUCCUGCCACUGCUGCAGAAAUAUUUACCUUCCCAUCUCUAUCUGUUAAUCCUCAGAACUGAGCGGCGAUUGUCCAGGUGUUCCAGUGACUUGCUUCAAAACUCGGCCAAUCCUCGCACCGCCACUGCUACUCCGUUCGGGGUCGGCAUCCGUUUCGACGCCGCAGCUCCAAUUUUUUCUUCCAACACUUUUUCUCCUCAAGAACCUUUUAAGUCAAUUUUUCUUCCAGAGUUGCCAUGGGAGCGAGGUCAGUUUUAUUAGCGUCUUUGUUUUCCAGUGGUUUAUUCAUCGGGAUUCUUUGAUUUUCAGGUUCAGUGGAGGAUUUCCUGGCGGCGGCGAUGGAUGCUGCUAAGAGUGCUGGGAGGUGCUCUUCGGCAAUUUUUUCAGGACAUAAUUAGAUCAGCUUUCGCCCACAUUUCACUGUUUUUAUUACUAUUUUUAUU